RNAcentral lists this ribosomal RNA (633 nucleotides) under uncultured fungus. RNAcentral's name for it is "eukaryotic LSU rRNA". The stretch from base 232 to 385 matches the Rfam family "5.8S ribosomal RNA". The record is from RNAcentral. Lineage: Eukaryota; Fungi.
AGUAAAAGUCGUAACAAGGUUUCCGUAGGUGAACCUGCGGAAGGAUCAUUAAAGAGUAAGGGUGCUCAGCGCCCGACCUCCAACCCUUUGUUGUUAAAACUACCUUGUUGCUUUGGCGGGACCGCUCGGUCUCGAGCCGCUGGGGAUUCGUCCCAGGCGAGCGCCCGCCAGAGUUAAACCAAACUCUUGUUAUUUAACCGGUCGUCUGAGUUAAAAUUUUGAAUAAAUCAAAACUUUCAACAACGGAUCUCUUGGUUCUCGCAUCGAUGAAGAACGCAGCGAAAUGCGAUAAGUAAUGUGAAUUGCAGAAUUCAGUGAAUCAUCGAAUCUUUGAACGCACAUUGCGCCCCUUGGUAUUCCGAGGGGCAUGCCUGUUCGAGCGUCAUUACACCACUCAAGCUAUGCUUGGUAUUGGGCGUCGUCCUUAGUUGGGCGCGCCUUAAAGACCUCGGCGAGGCCACUCCGGCUUUAGGCGUAGUAGAAUUUAUUCGAACGUCUGUCAAAGGAGAGGAACUCUGCCGACGGAAACCUUUAUUUUUCUAGGUUGACCUCGGAUCAGGUAGGGAUACCCGCUGAACUUAAGCAUAUCAAUAAGCGGAGGAAAAGAAACCAACAGGGAUUGCCCCAGUAACG